This 230-nucleotide ribosomal RNA is filed under the name uncultured bacterium. Its description in RNAcentral is "partial 16S ribosomal RNA". It matches the Rfam family "Bacterial small subunit ribosomal RNA", at positions 118 to 350 of the family's 1533-position model. The record is from RNAcentral.
UGGGCAACCUACCCUUGACUCUGGGAUAACUCCGGGAAACCGGAGCCAAUACCGGAUAUGAACACGAAGGACAUCCUUUGUGUUGGAAAGUUUUUCGGUCAGGGAUGGGCCCGCGGCCUAUCAGCUUGUUGGCGAGGUAACGGCUCACCAAGGCGACGACGGGUAGCUGGUCUGAGAGGACGACCAGCCACACUGGAACUGAGAUACGGUCCAGACUCCUACGGGAGGCA